This 514-nucleotide long non-coding RNA is filed under the name Gopherus agassizii (Agassiz's desert tortoise). Its description in RNAcentral is "lncRNA (ENSGAGG00000024907.1)". The record is from RNAcentral. Lineage: Eukaryota; Metazoa; Chordata; Testudines; Testudinidae.
UUGCCCUGAGAGUGACGCGGGCGGGCGCUGAUUGGCGGAGCGUGGAGUGUGGCACUGGCUCCUGCAACUAAUUAUUACAGGGGACGGCGGCGACGUGAACCACAGAGCUGGACAGAGAGGGAUUUAAAGGGACAGCGCCCCAGCGCGCAGCAGCCCCCUGACCCAGCCGUGGGAUGGGGGGCAGAGCAGAGGGGGUAGGGCAGUAGGAAUAUUUCACAACUAAAUCACUGACGCAUGCAACCUUAUAUUCAAACAACUUUGCAGCUGAGCGCUCUGUGGAGAGAGAAGAGAAUUCCUGUGGCAUCCCCUUUGAAGUCAGUCUGAUUAAAAGAUUUUGCUCACUGAAACCAGCAUGAUCUGGAAAAGAGAGAUCCAGGAAAAGCACAAGGGUCCAAGUCAAGAGAGAAAAGAAGAGUCAGAGGCCUGUAAGGAGCCCAACAGAAUGGUGGAGAAGCCCAAGAGGCAGGUAAGAAGUGAGAUGAAACGCGGGGGCUGGGUCGGGGGGAGAAGGAGA